CAUUAUCAUGGGGUGGGCAUGGCAGCCUCGGUACAGCCUUAUAUAUAAAAAAGGUAGAGAGUAAAAGACCAAAAGACAAAGAUCAAUUUUAGUUACAGAGCUGUCUUGAUACUCAUACAUAUUUUGGUUCGUUCACAUCCAUAGACAUAUAUUUCCUCAUCCUUUUUCUCUCCCUCGCAUCUCCUCAUGGAUGAAGCUCAUGUGCAUGGCCUAUAUAUGUUCCACAGUGAAUAUAACAAGACAAUACACUCUGAAGUCCUGCCUCUCUUCGACUAGUCAGGCGUCAUCUGGCUUUGGCGUACAGUGCAGAUGUGAGCCAAAUUGUCAACCCAUAUUAUUCUUAUCUCCUUGUGAAUUGGUAGUCUCCUCGGACUUGCAAAUAGGGACAACCAAUUCACAGUGAGUUAUCUGUUACUAACCCACAUUACUCUGAUCUCCUCGUGACUUGGGAGCCUCCUCGAACUUGCAAAGAGGAACACCUAAUUCACAGCGAGUUCAAGAGGAAAGUGGACUGAUAUUACCCACGACUGCACCUCAACAAACCCUGGACACAAUUACAUAAUGCCACUCUCUUAAAAUAUAGAUACAUUAGAUAUAUUUGCAACUAAUUCUGGUAAUUUUUUUACUAUGUACGUAAUGCCACUUUCUUUUGCCCGUGUAGUAGUAGUGAGUCUUAAUGCCCUAGAGUGCUUGAAACAGACACCAGUGUGCUUAGCUUAACGUAAUGAUAAGUGAACUACAGCUUCCACCAGCCAGCUACUCGAGUCCCUUCCCUUCAUAUAAUUUGAUACAGAAAGUGUUUGAAGUUAAGUCAGUGCUCAGAUCAGUGACGGUGGGUAAUAAGAAGGUGAGGGAAGGGGUGAGAUUUAUAGGACAUUUUUACCAUAGUGUGGACAUUGUUUCUCAGUCACUAGAACAAACUCCCUUCAUAUGAUCAGUGUAGAAAGUGUUUGAAGUGAAGUCGUUGCUAAGAAAAGUGACACUGGGUAAUAAUAAGGUGUGGGAAGGGGUGAGGUUUAGAGGACUAGCUGUUAUGAUAGUGUGGACAGUGUUUCUCAGUCACUGGAACAAACUCCCUUCAUAUCAAUCAGUGUAGAAAGAGGUUUAAGUGAAGUCAGUGCUAAAAUCAAUGACUCUGGGUAAAAGGAAGGAGAGGAAGGGGUGAGGUUUACAGGACUAGCUGUUAUGAUAGUGUGGACAUUGUUUCUCAGUCACUGGAACAAACUCCCUUCAUAUCAAUUAGUGUAGAAAGAGGUUUAAGUGAAGUCAGUGCUAAAAUCAAUGACUGGGUAAAAGGAAGGUGAGGAAAGGGUGAGGUUUAGAGGACUAGCUGUUAUGAUAGUGUGGACAUUGUUUCUCAGUCACUGGAACAAACUCCCUUCAUAUCGAUCAGUGUAGAAAGUGUUUGAAGUGAAGUCAGUGCUAAAAUCAAUGACUCUAGGUAAUAAUAAGGUGAGGGAAAGGCUGAGAUUUAGAGGACUAGCUUUACCACAGUGCGAACAUUGUUUAUCAGGCACUGGAACAAACUCCCUUCAUAUCGACCAGUGCAGAAAUAGGUUUAAGUGAGUUCAGCACAAAAAUCAAUGACUCUAGGUUAUAAGAAGGUAGGAAAAGGGGUGAGGCUUAGAGGAAUAGCUGGUUGGUGGACUCUUUAGAACAGACAAAGUGCAAACAAACAUACAAAAGAAAAUUCAUUUCAUCUAAGUACAAAAUAUGCAUUCUCUCGCCACUUAAUAUUUACCUAUGUGCUUAUUACAUGUGGUGCUUACAGGUUGUUUAUUACAUAUGGCAAAUCAUGAGGCAGGUGUCACGUAUAUAUAAAGUCUCAUGUUUUGUGUGUGUGUAUCAAGAGAAAUAUCUGGAGUUUUACACUUGCAAAUAAUUGAGGUUUUUAUACAAAUUAUGAGGGUGAACAAAUACUGAUGCAAGAAGAAGAGGAGGAGGAAGAGAAAGAAGGGUGGGAGAAAGGGAGAUGAUAUGAUGAAGGAAGGAAUAGAGAAGGAUAGAGAAAGGAGGGAAGGAGGAGGAGGAGGAAAAAACUUUAUUUACUGCUUUGAAAAUGGCACUUUUUGUGUUAUAUUUACCAAAGUGAUCACAUGCGUGGUUCACCAGUGCUUGGAUCUUACAGCCACUAAUCAUUCCCAGGUGCCACACAUUUUCAAAAUAUGAGACUGAGUGGAAGGAAAAUCUUUACUGUCCCAAGUAGUUUGUCUGCAAUGAAAUCAUUUAUUUUACCUUGAUUGUUACUUGAAUGCCUCCUGAAGGUCCUCCUGGAGCACCUUGAUGACCUAUUGAAGGUCAAGGAAUACCUACAUGGUACUUUCUCCUGCCUUUUCUUGCAGUAUAGAAUUUCUUGAUUUCUUCCGAGAAUUCUGACUCACAGUAUAGUACAUAAGUUUUUACAGCAAGCUGGUAUCAACUGAGCCAAAGGCAUCUUUUAUACUGUCUUAACAUAAUAGAGAUCUCCCUCAUUUCCCAGCACAGACAGAGCAUUUUUCUAUUGCUCUACAAGUCCAGGUGGCCUUUUAAAGACUUCUUCCAUGUUGGCGACAAGGUAUCUGAUAAGCCACAUGCUGGCUUUUAGCUUGUCACCACCCAAGCUUGUAUAAACACCCAUGAAAAGAGGGCGCACUCCUCCAGUUCUUUUGGGAAGGAGUUUUACUUUCCCUUGCACUUCAACACUAUCUGGCUGAGUAGUAAAUAGGGUGCUACUUUUCUGUGAAAGAGCACAAAAUGUGCCUUUCCUGAAGAAAAAAAAUCUGAUUGCUACCUCCAGAAAUUUUGGAGGUGACAACAAAAGCCUUAAGAGAUGCAAUGAUAAUCUUUUGCAAUAUCCAAAUAAAAAACUUACUGAGUACAUACAUAGGUGUACAUACAUAGGAAGAAGCAUAGAAGGGAAGAAGAGAAGAGAAAAUUAAAAAAGGAAGAAGAAAAAGAAUAUGAAGAAUAAGAACAAGAAAAGCAGGAUAUUGAGAAAGAUAAAGGAAGAAAGAUGGUAGGAGGAGGACAAGGAAUCAUAGUAGAGGAGGACAAAAAAGCAAUACUCAGAGGUAGAAGAAAAUUUUAGAUGAAGAAAAGAAUGAGAACAAGGACAAGAAAGAACCAGAAACCCUCUAAUGAACAACUUGAACAGAGUGAAAGAUGGGAAGAGGAGGAGGAGGAGGAGGAAAAGGAAUCAUAGUAGAGGAGGACAAAAAAGCAAUAAUCAAAGAAAGUAGAAGAAAAUUUAAGAAGAUGAAGAAUGAGAACAAGAACUAGACGAAGAACAAGAAAAGGAAGACAACAAUAAACAUUGAACAAGGAGGAGAAAGAAACAAAGGAAGGAAGGAAGAAAAGAGUGAAUGAGUGAAUAUAGGAAGGAAGGAAAGGAAAAAGAAAGUAAGAAAGUAAGAUAUAGAUAGAUAGACAGACAGGAAGAAAAAAAUAAAGAGGAGACAAACUCACCCUGACACCCAUAACAAAAGGAAGAAUCAGGGAAACUUUUGAGCACCUGUAGACAUGAGCACAGUACUCACUUCUCUAAAGGGAUAGAUAGAUACAGAUAGAUAAUAGAUAGGAAAAAAGAAAAUAAAGAGGAGACAGAAACUCACCCUGACACCCAUAACAAAAGCAAGAAUCAGGGACAAUUUUGAGGACCUGUAGACAUGAGCACAGUACUUACUUCUCCUCUAAAGGGACAGAUAGAUAGAUAGGAAGAAAGAAAAUAAAGAGGAGACAGAAACUCACCCUGACACCCAUAACAAAAGCAAGAAUCAGGAACAGUUUUGAGCACCUGUAGACAUGAGCACAGUACUCACCUCUCCUCUAAAGGGAUUGGGGAUAGCUUGGGAGGCCUGACCUGGCAAAGAUGCAUAAUAAACAGUGCAUUCAGCCGGUGAUGUGAUACCUGAGAGAACUGUAUAACAUAAUGCAUAAAUCCCUGCUUGGAGGGCGUCAACAACACAGGUACAAUGUUAACUCAGUGAGGGUACAACAGUAAGGGGUCGUUGAACAAUGCUAAAUGCCUCGGCGAACAGGAACGAAUGGAGACUCAACUAAGAGGUAAAGGUAGGCAAUGAUCAGGUAUAUAAUAGGUGUUAGGAUACAAUGAUGUGGUUUGAAGGUACAACAGAGAGUCCUUGAUCAAUCUAAACACCUCGUUAAACAAUGCUAAAUGCCUCGGCGAACAAGAACAAAUGGAGACUCAACUAAGAGGUAUAAUAUAAGGUAGUGAUCAGGUAUAUCGUAAAUGUUAGGGUACAAUGAUGUGCUUAUUAAAGGUACAACAGGGAAUCCUUGGUCAUUCUAAACACCUUGACAAACAGGAACAGAGAGUCCAUUGAGAGGUAAAGUUAAGGUAGGUAAGGUAAGGUUGAGUUAAGUUAUAAGGUUAAAUUAGAAGGUUAGAAGGUUAGGUUAUGUCAACUGAGAGGUAAAGUUAAGUUAAGUUAAGGUAAGGUAAGGUAAGGUAAGGUAAGGUAAGGUUGAGUUAAGUUAUAAGGUUAAAUUAGAAGGUUAGAAGGUUAUGUUAUGUUAACUGAGAGGUAAGGUAAGGUAAGGUAAGGUAAGGUAAGACAAGGCAAGGCAAGGUAAGGUAAGGUAAGGUAAGGUAAGGCAAGGUAAGGUAAGGUAAGGCAAGGUAAGGUAAGGUAAGGUAAGGUAAGGUAAGGCAAGGCAAGGUAAGGUAAGGUAAGGUAAGGUAAGGUAAGGUAAGGCAAGGCAAGGCAAGGUAAGGUAAGGUAAGGCAAGGCAAGGUAAGGUAAGGUUGAGUAAGGUUAUAAGGUUAAAUUAAAAGGUUAUGUUAUGUUAAAAGGGAAGCUAAUAGUCAGGUAAUAUGUGUCCAGAUCUGAUACUAAUGGUCUUAUGUUGAUAAAAAGAUAUAGAAAAAAUGGAAAGAAAAGGAUAGAAAUCGGUGAAAUAGGUUAUGAGGUAAAAUUAAAAGGCUACAUCUAUGAGGCAUGAAUCAACAGGGAACAGUUCGGGGUAGAAAUUAAAAAGAAAUACACAUAAUAGGAAUUGAAAGUCAUAAUCUGAUGUGUAUGAUUCCAAGAUGAACAAAGAUACCCAUGUUCAAAGAAAGCCUGCAGGGAAGUGGAGGAAAAUGUUAAGUAAUGCAGUGGAGAUAGUUUACAGAUAUAGAGCUAAAUGAUAUACCCACUCCUCUCUUUUUGAAGUUCUGUACAUACCAACCAAACCCUAGAGUCAUAAAUGAGAAAGGGCUGCUGGGAAGGAGGAGGAAAAUGUAAAGUAAUGCAGUGGAGAUAGUUCAAGUAUUGAGCUAAAUGAUAAAGCCACUCCUCUGUACAUAGCAAACCCUGAAUUCGUAACUGAUAAAUGUCUACUGAGAAGGGGAGGAAAAAGGAAAGUAAAGCAGUGGAGAUAGUUCAGGUAUUGAGCUAAAUGAUAAAGCCACUCCUCUGUACAUAGCAAACCCUGAAUUCGUAACUGAUAAAUGUCUACUGAGAAGGGGAGGAAGGGCUAUUACAGAAAACAUAAAUCACAGGUACAACUAAACAAAAUCGAUACUAUUAAUUUUUAGACACUCUUUGUACAUUGUGGUCUUGUUACUACCAGGAUUCAUCAAUUAAUACACACAGAAAUGCAAACAGCAACAACUUCAACGUUUGUGAAUUGUUUCUGGAUUGACCAAAACACACACAAAAAAAUAGCAUUCACUCAGUUCAUUAACUUAUACAAUUGUGAAGCAUACAUUAACAUUUCUGUCAAUAAUAAAUUGUUUCGCAUUGACUGCAAAUGUAUAAAUAAAAACAACAAAAACUAAUAGUACAAUCGUAAUAACAAUCACACGAUCAUAAUAAUAAUAACAAUAAGAUCACUAAGUUUGCACAUCAGUUUAAAGUAAUUCCUUCUGUAUCACAAUGUCCAUAAUAUUACGAUUUUAGUGCGACUUAAUGAUAAAAAAAAGACUGUUUAUUUGUGUCCAUGAUACAGUAAUACCUCGGCUUACAAAUGACUUACUUUACGAGCGUUUUGAUUUACGAGUAAAAAAAAAUCACUAGACUUGCCUUGGUUUAUGAGCAGUGACUUGGUGUACGAGUAUCCUGUUUGUACAAGUUGAAGACACGCAUGUGGGUUCCCUUUGUUCACCGCAAGAUGAAAGUGCUCAGAGCGGAAAACAAUGGAAAGGGAGUCUCAGUCCGUGUACACUCGCAGAGGUAGGACCCGCGCGCUUGUGUCCGCUUAUGUUUGUGCUCUAGUACGCAAUCUUUGUUUUCAGUACUACAGUUCUGGUUAACCCGGUAGCUGCAGGGAUCAUGUUUCUUAAAGGCCCCUCUAAGCGAGAAUAAUGAGAAAAAAUUAUCACUCACGCAAACCAUUUCAUAAUAUAUAUCAACGCACUUGUGAUCAGUUUAUGCAUCAUCUAUUUUGGGGGGUUUAUAUCAUGGCAGAAAUUUGGCCUGUCGCUGAUACACGGCAAAGCCACAAAUUUAGCCCGUCGCUGCUACCGGGUUAACAAGUUUUUUGGUGUGCGAGUGAAUUCCGGAAUGAAACAAGCUUGUAACCGAGGUAUGACUGUAUUUCCUUUUCUGCCAUAAUGUAAUAAUAAUAAUGCCAUACCAGACUAGAUCAUCCUAACAAAAGAAACAGCCAAUAAUGGGAAUAAAACAACUCUUCGCAAGUCCUCACGCAAAUCAUACCACGACGAAAUUAAAACUCUUGGAGGUGAAAACAAAUGCCAGACGUUGUACAUACCGGUGUGUUGAGCAGCCGUUCUUUUUAGGGUAGUGCCGCGUUACCACCACAGAGGGUGACCAACACGGGUUCACGGGCCAUCCAUAAAGCUAUACAGAUAAUAAAGUAAAUGUUUCGUCCAAUGUCUGAAUUCAUAUCCACACGCUUUUCUUCUUCACACGAUAUUGAAGUAUAAUUCAACUUAAAGGUGGCAAAAAAUCAAGAAUCAAAAUACUAGACUGACUCCAAUGCCUCCUCUAGAUUCUCUGCCCUUCCAUCCUUCUCUCUGUCUCCUGCGUCACCCCAGCAAGUCACUCGUCAACACAACAAAGCCAGAAACACAUAAACAGCGAUACAUUAACAUACGAGGCACUGGACGAGAAGGGACGUAAGGGGGACAGCCAUUUUCUCUGGGAGAGACAAGCUAUAUUUACACAUCCCAGGUAGAACAAAAAAACAAGCCUUCUAUUUGGUGUACUGAGGGUUGCUUUUCCCUUGCAACUUCUACUUUGUUCUUCCUGGGGUGUGGAGUCUGGUCUGUCUUUCCCAGGUAGAAGAAAAAACAAGGCUUCUAUUUGGUGUACUGAGAGUCCCUUUUCCCUUGUAACUUAUACCUUGUUCUUCCUGCAAUGUGUAGUCUCGACUGUCUUUCCCAGUACAAACUAAGGAAAAAAUAUCUCUGUCCCUUAUGCUCCUUCUCCUCAAGACGCCUCAAUUCUUAGCCUACGGUGAGAUUUAUUUUGAUGCAACAGUAUGGGGUUAUCAGUGGCUCAUUACGCCCCUCGGUUCCCCCAUAAUAGACGGCCAGACCUUCUUCGCCAGACCCCUCGGUGACCCUGGCUUGACCUCACUAUCACGGCCCAUUCCAGCGAGUCGGUCGAGACGAAUGCUGACCCUACGGCAAAAACUUUAUUUAUUUUUUAUCUUAAAUUUGAUUGGCAUGAAGUGCAGAACUGUGUCACUGAUUUGAUGGUAAAAAUUGAUGAACUAUGAUGUGUUGACGAGGGAUUUGUGUUAGUUUGUGUUCUUUUUUAAAGUGAGAGUGAGAAUGUAUCAAGACAGAUGAUGUGUUGAUGAAAAUAUUGUGUUACUUGUUUUACUCUGCGAUUUUUUUAUAUAUAAGUGCAAAUAUAAAAAAAAAUUAUGUUUUGAUUAAGAAUUUGUGUUAGUUCGUGUUCUCUUUUAAUUUGGAAGUGAAAAUAUGUUGCGAAAUAUGAUCUACUGAGUAAAAAUUGCGUUAGUUUAAAUUCUUUUUUAAAGUGAAUCCGAAUACGUCGAGAUAACAUGUCCAAACACCACAGACUAAAGGACCAUCCAGCAGGGUGUCGGGAGCAUGACCAAAAGCGUUGCCAUAGGGUGAACACUCUUCCUAUCACACUACACAGACAUAAUAAUUUGUACCAAGUAAUAAUUUUGCUUUCCGCCGGUGCAAUGGACAACUUUGGUGCCGACAACCAUGACUACCGACUUGCAUGACGGCUGUUGCGCACAUUCUUCUUAACCUCUUAGUUACGAUAAUAUGAAAGACGUAUUUUGCGGGAUUAAAGUGCUAAUUUUGAGUGCCGAACUAGACUAAGCCAAUGCAUGUUGUGUGUGUACGUACUUGCGUAAAGGUUGAAGUUCUUAAGUGAUUUAUUCAAGCAAAGAUUAGGGAGUGAAGUCUUGUUUGAAUACUACUUUUCUGGGGGUUCAAUUUAUAUUAUAGUUAAUUAUUGUGCGAUAGUGUAUUAGAAGUGAAGAAAGAUGAAUAAUAUAACGUCACUGACAAGUUGUGUGUGUGUGAAGAAGGGAAAGAGAGGACCAAGAGGAGGAGGAGGACCUAUGAAGCAAUACAAAGUGAAAUAAGUCAAAAGAAGAUGCAGAAACCUUGUCCUAACCACCUGUUGAUAUCACUUGAGUAUAUCCAUGGGGGGGAACUGACUGUUACAUGCCGUCAACCUUUCCACAAGCACAUACACACUACCACAUGCCAAAGAGUGUGUUCCCCUCCCCUUCCUCCCUCCCUCCCUGUGUAUUGCUAGAGCGAAUCUAAAACAUCUGGAACAAGGAGUAAUUCCACAUCAGCCGGGAAAUUGGUGAGCAUCAGAGACAUCAUAACCUGCAAUAGUAACAUCCUUAACAUACAACUACAGAGGCAAGACCUUAUUGCAUACAGUAUUAGGAACAGCUCUGAAGGAAGGGCAACAGAGGAGGACCACUCACUCACUGCCUGUCCCAUCUACUGUUUGUGCACACCAUGGGGAGUUUAUACAAUGUGCGAGUCUUGUGGCGUAAGUGCUGCAAGACGAGGUGUGGGUGAGGAUAGAACAGCCUUUAGCCUACGACGGAGGUAGUAUGUACAAUAUGCUGUGACUAAUAUGUGUCUUGCUGUGACUAAUAUGUGUCGAAGUGGACUGCAGAAGCUCCCUCUCACCCAGAUCUGCUCACGUGAGUCUGUCUACAGCGAGGAAAUAGUCUAGUGUUGACAGCGGAGGUCGUAUGCACUACCAGCCUCCUGCAGACUCCUUAUGUUCUUAUAUACAAAAUGCCGUGAAUCGCAAGUGUCUACAUCAAUAGUUCUAAGCCUUGGGAAACGUUUUGGGGUUCCGUAGGAGUACGAGUGUAUGUUUUGUGAGACAUAAAUUACUAUAUAGAACAGUUCAGCUUUACUUCACUCAGCCAUGUCGUCUUUCAACCCAGUCUGCAUCUCCCAUUUGCAUAUCUAUACCUACUAAACAAACUGUCGAUAAAACACAUGAUUCUUACUGCUAUGCGAAUAAACAGUGUACUAUCCAAGCUACUUUUUAUCCUAUCUACACCAGGACGGGUGGACUGGCUGAGGGGGGAAGGGACACAAUAAUAGCUAAGGAAAGUGUCGCUCGUCUAAAUGGACCUCAGAUGGACGCUUCCCCAGUCAGAUCUCACGUGAGUCACUCUGUCAGUAGUUGCACUUCAGACGUUGGCCGUACUGUUCCUGCGUUGAGACUAGCAUACCCCUACAACACCUUAUCUUAGAGCCCUGAUGUUGGCUUGCAUAUAUAAAGAGACUGUCUUCCAUACCUAGCACCACUGGAAGGUAGAGAAGGUCAGGUGCGUGGUUGCCAUCAACCACCCACAGACACGGGAAGGACUUGCUUGCAUGCAUAACCCUAAGAAUGAUGGUGUGGAAAUUAUACAAAGAAAUCACAUAUGUUCUUGCAUGCAAAAUCACUGUGGUCAGUAUUA
Molecule: long non-coding RNA, 9876 nt
Organism: Eriocheir sinensis (Chinese mitten crab)
Lineage: Eukaryota; Metazoa; Arthropoda; Malacostraca; Decapoda; Varunidae
Exons: 3
Source: RefSeq, a predicted model, not a curated record